This 497-nucleotide ribosomal RNA is filed under the name uncultured bacterium. Its description in RNAcentral is "partial 16S ribosomal RNA". It matches the Rfam family "Bacterial small subunit ribosomal RNA", at positions 28 to 507 of the family's 1533-position model. The record is from RNAcentral.
GAUGAACGCUGGCGGCGUGCCUAAUACAUGCAAGUCGAGCGAACAGACGAGGAGCUUGCUCCUCUCACGUUAGCGGCGGACGGGUGAGUAACACGUGGAUAACCUACCUAUAAGACUGGGAUAACUUCGGGAAACCGGAGCUAAUACCGGAUAAUAUAUUGAACCGCAUGGUUCAAUAGUGAAAGACGGUUUUGCUGUCACUUAUAGAUGGAUCUGCGCCGCAUUAGCUAGUUGGUAAGGUAACGGCUUACCAAGGCAACGAGGCGUAGCCGACCUGAGAGAGUGAUCGGCGACACUGGAACUGAGACACGGUCCAGACUCCUACGGGAGGCAGCAGUAGGGAAUCUGCCGCAAUGGGCGAAAGCAUGACGGAGCAACGCCGCGUGAGUGAUGAAGGUCUUGGGAUCGUAAAACUCUGUUAUUAGGGAAGAACAAAUGUGUAAGUAACUAUGCACGUCUUGACGGUACCUAAUCAGAAAGCCACGGCUAACUACGUG